AUGAUUGUGAUAUUUGCAUUUUCUAUAAAUCCUUGCUCCGUGU
RNAcentral lists this small RNA (43 nucleotides) under Plasmodium falciparum 3D7. Its description in RNAcentral is "Pfa-npcR6574". Lineage: Eukaryota; Apicomplexa; Aconoidasida; Haemosporida; Plasmodiidae. The record is from RNAcentral.